This is a long non-coding RNA of Arachis duranensis, 898 nucleotides long. RefSeq lists it as uncharacterized. The record is from RefSeq and is a predicted model, not a curated record. NCBI's taxonomy places the organism in Eukaryota, Viridiplantae, Streptophyta, Magnoliopsida, Fabales, Fabaceae. The transcript has 3 exons.
AAAAUCACUAAAACCUAAAACCCAAGAGAGCCCAUCGUUAGUUAAAGAGAUGAAAAUUUUGGUUAAGGUGAUGGAUGCUAGGUUGCAGCAGCAUUGGACUAUGCUAAGAAAACAAAUCCACAACAAAAUUAGAAGAUGUACAACCAAGCUUGAGCUUCCUUCAUAAGUUUAAGACUCUGGUAAAAGAAAAGAAAAUAACAGAGAAGCAAAAGAAAAAGUGCUAUCAUUAGGUCACACAUUCCAAGAAUAACAAAGAUAGGGAGAGCAAUGAGUGAGAAACCAUAUUUGUGUUGAACCAUGAAGUUCAAUUAGCGGGAGCUAGAUUUCACUUCAUGUCUUUGAAACACAAAGAAUAUGUAGAUAAUGUAGUAAGUUCUUGUGCUAUAACAUUAACGAUUUUUCUUAUGAGUUCUUGUGUUAUAUAUGUAAAAAAUUUGGGUCCUUUGUUUUCAUAUGUGGUCUCUGCAACGUGUCAAGUUCUCAACAACAAUAAAUGUAAAAGAUUUGAAGAGUUGUAUACUAUCUCCUAUUGGAUAUUGUGAAUAACGUGUUGAUGAAACAUGAGCAUAACUACAUUGAUGAAGAAACUAAGGCCUUCAACAUCAAUGAAUCUAUUUACCUCAGUUUGCCAUGAAGACCACCGAUGGUUGUGGAUUGCGAAUAUUCAAAAGAAAAGGUUUUAUGUUCUUGACCCUAUUCAUAAAACACGUCCCUCUGACAAAAGUAAAAAAAAUCUUAAUAAAUUUGUUGUAAGUUAUUUACAUAAUACGUAUUUCUAUUUUCAUUGUGAAUUCUCUAGUGUUAAUGUUUCUUAUAUUUGCCUUUUUCUUCUUUUCAAAACUUGAUUAUAUCACAAGUGAAGGUGUAUGUUGGAACAUCACCUUUAAUAGACAAUGAA